Molecule: ribosomal RNA, 312 nt
Filed under: Triticum aestivum (bread wheat)
Lineage: Eukaryota; Viridiplantae; Streptophyta; Magnoliopsida; Poales; Poaceae
Description: partial small subunit ribosomal RNA
Source: RNAcentral
AUGUUUGCACAUACUUCUCGAAAAAUGAUGUCACUUGCAUUGAAGUGUAAAACUUCGAAGGAGGUUCUUACAUAUCUGAACGUUGGUAUUGAUAAGUUGGCUUUGGAAGCACAUGAAUUACUUGGCAAUCUAAACUUAGAUGAGGAUGAUGAUUCUGAAAGUUCCUCCGAAAUGAAUGAAUAUGUUGCCAAGACAAUGGUGCCAUUCAAAGCUCCUGAACGAAUAAAAGGUCCAAUGAAAAAAAGAUCAAAAGAUGUUCUAGAGGGAGCAAAGAAAGGGAAAAAGGAAGGUACAUUUAAUUCUUAUGUGUGA